UACGGAGGGUGCAAGCGUUGUUCGGAUUCAUUGGGCGUAAAGGGUCCGCAGGCGGUCGGGUAAGUCGGAUGUGAAAUCCCGUGGCCUAACCACGGAAUGUCAUUCGAAACUACUCGGCUCGAGGACUGGAGAGGAGACUGGAAUGAUCGGUGUAGCGGUGAAAUGCGUAGAUAUCGAUCAGAACACCAGUAGCGAAGGCGAGUCUCUGGACAGUUCCUGACGCUCAUGGACGAAAGCCAGGGGAGCAAACGGG
This 253-nucleotide ribosomal RNA is filed under the name uncultured bacterium. RNAcentral describes it as "partial 16S ribosomal RNA". It matches the Rfam family "Bacterial small subunit ribosomal RNA", at positions 524 to 776 of the family's 1533-position model. The record is from RNAcentral.